CACAGCUGGGGGAGGAAGAUGUGAAUUCACCCUGAAAAUUUGGCCCUCAGAUGAAGAUACUGCACCAACACAGUAUGUGUAGUACAUCAGAUAACGCACGUCUCUCUGAAGUUUCUAACAUCUUCACAAAGGCAGCAUCACCAGCUGGAACAACAAUGCAGAGCUGUCCACUGGAAGGGAUCACAGAUUGACUGAAACCCAGGAAUCCCAAGUUCCAAGGCAGGCAGUGAGGGUUGUAUCCAGUGGUGUGAAUUCUCUUCCUUUGAA
Hemicordylus capensis (graceful crag lizard) is the source of this 267-nucleotide long non-coding RNA. RefSeq lists it as uncharacterized. NCBI's taxonomy places the organism in Eukaryota, Metazoa, Chordata, Lepidosauria, Squamata, Cordylidae. The record is from RefSeq and is a predicted model, not a curated record. The transcript has 3 exons.